This 460-nucleotide ribosomal RNA is filed under the name Funneliformis coronatus. Its description in RNAcentral is "LSU rRNA". It matches the Rfam family "Eukaryotic large subunit ribosomal RNA", at positions 358 to 668 of the family's 3401-position model. Lineage: Eukaryota; Fungi; Glomeromycota; Glomeromycetes; Glomerales; Glomeraceae. The record is from RNAcentral.
GGAAAGAUGAAAAGAACUUUGAAAAGAGAGUUAAACAGUACGUGAAAUUGUUGAAAGGGAAACGAUUGAAGUCAGUCAUACCAACGGGAAAUCAACCUUUUGAGCUUUGUCUCGUGGGUUCGAAGAGUUUAAACGCCUUCGGGUUCGCGAGAUUGGGAUCUUCUGGUGUACUUUCUCGUACGGUUAGUCAACAUCGGUUUUGAAUGUCAUAAAAUGACUGGAGGAAUGUAGCUUCGAUCUCGUAUCGAAGUGUUAUAGCCUUUGGUAGAUGUGAUGUUUGAGACCGAGGAUUGCAACGGAUACCCUCUAAGGGCUAUUCGUCUGAUCUCUGAUACGUUACCUUGACGUUGAAAGCUUGCUUAUAAUGUUAGGGUAUUACGGUCAAAAGGUUAGAACGGAUUAAAUUCGUUAAGGAUGUUGACGUAAUGACUUUAAACGACCCGUCUUGAAACACGGACCA